AGGAGUUUGAUCCUGGCUCAGGAUGAACGCUAGCGGGAGGCCUAACACAUGCAAGUCGAACGGUAACAGAAAUAGCUUGCUAUUUGCUGACGAGUGGCGGACGGGUGCGUAACGCGUAUGCAACUUACCCAUAGCUGGGGAAUAGCCCGGAGAAAUCCGGAUUAAUACCCCAUAAUACCAACAGUUCGCAUGUUCAGUUGGUUAAAACUUCGGUGGCUACGGAUAGGCAUGCGUCCCAUUAGUUUGUUGGUGAGGUAACGGCUCACCAAGACUACGAUGGGUAGGGGGCCUGAGAGGGUGAUCCCCCACACUGGUACUGAGACACGGACCAGACUCCUACGGGAGGCAGCAGUGAGGAAUAUUGGUCAAUGGACGAAAGUCUGAACCAGCCAUCCCGCGUGCAGGAUGACAGCGCUACGCGUUGUAAACUGCUUUUAUUUGGGAAGAAACCCCUUUACGUGUAAAGGGCUGACGGUACCAAACGAAUAAGCACCGGCUAACUCCGUGCCAGCAGCCGCGGUAAUACGGAGGGUGCAAGCGUUAUCCGGAUUUAUUGGGUUUAAAGGGUUCGUAGGUGGGAUGAUAAGUCAGUGGUGAAAGCCUGCGGCUCAACCGUAGAAUUGCCAUAGAUACUGUCGUCCUUGAGUGUAGUUGAAGUAGGCGGAAUGUGACAUGUAGCGGUGAAAUGCAUAGAUAUGU
RNAcentral lists this ribosomal RNA (699 nucleotides) under uncultured bacterium. RNAcentral describes it as "bacterial SSU rRNA". It matches the Rfam family "Bacterial small subunit ribosomal RNA", at positions 1 to 699 of the family's 1533-position model. The record is from RNAcentral.